CGAGCUUUCAACAGCUGAUGUGAUAAGACCAACGUUUUGCCAUCUCUCUCAAUCCUAGGGCUUUUUAUCGGGUUUUCUCUCACUCUCAUUGUCUCAAAGUUUCAGUACUUUAGUUUAGUACAUACAGUACAGUGUGCGUCAGUAUUGAACUUUACCUCCUUCGUGUAGGUCAUGUUUUCACAUUUCUAACGUGAAGCGUUCGUAGGUGAUAAUCAAUAAAGGAUUAACACGAAACAUUUCACGAAGCUGAGGUAUGGGACAUUGCAUUCAAGAAAUAGUAACAUGGUAUCAGAAGAAAAUCGGCACCUACGACAAGCAAGAAUGGGAAAAAACUGUAGAGCAGCGAAUUUUAAGUGGUUUCACGCAUGUCCCUAAAAAAGUGCAAAGCUCAAAACAGAUUUGAUCGAUGUGGAUCUAGUCAGAGGGUCAGCAUUCACAAAAGCAAAGCCGAAGCAUGGGAUUUUGACUGUGUCUCGGUUGGCAGUGCUGCGACUUCUGUGCUUGCCUCUUCACUCCAAGUGGUGGAUUGCUCAAACCUCAUCUUACGUGUUCGCUCUCCUACUCUUCCUCUAUGUUUUGCAAUUAGUCAAUAUUAUUAUUUAUUACUAUGCUAGCUCUCUCUACGAAAACGAGCAGGUUAGUUUUUAUG
Molecule: long non-coding RNA, 649 nt
Filed under: Bemisia tabaci
Lineage: Eukaryota; Metazoa; Arthropoda; Insecta; Hemiptera; Aleyrodidae
Description: lncRNA ENSSSA1NGG005982
Source: RNAcentral